RNAcentral lists this ribosomal RNA (397 nucleotides) under uncultured bacterium. RNAcentral describes it as "bacterial SSU rRNA". It matches the Rfam family "Bacterial small subunit ribosomal RNA", at positions 361 to 774 of the family's 1533-position model. The record is from RNAcentral.
AUAUUGCAAAAUGGGCGAAAGCCCGAUGCAGCAACGCCGCGUGGGCGAUGAAGGCCUUCGGGUCGUAAAGCCCUUUUUGAGGGGAUGAGGAAGGACAGUACCCUCAGAAUAAGCCUCGGCUAACUACGUGCCAGCAGCCGCGGUAAAACGUAGGAGGCGAGCGUUAUCCGGAUUUACUGGGCGUAAAGCGCGUGCAGGCGGAUUGGAGAGUUGGAUGUGAAAGCUCCCGGCUUAACUGGGAGAGGUCGUUCAAUACUUCCAGGCUUGUGUGCAGUAGAGGGGAGUGUAAUUCCGGGUGUCGUGGUGAAAUGCGUAGAUAUCCGGAGGAACACCAGUGGCGAAAGCGGCUUCCUGGACUGUAACUGACGCUCAGACGCGAAAGCUAGGGUAGCAAACG